This 482-nucleotide ribosomal RNA is filed under the name uncultured bacterium. RNAcentral's name for it is "partial 16S ribosomal RNA". It matches the Rfam family "Bacterial small subunit ribosomal RNA", at positions 28 to 507 of the family's 1533-position model. The record is from RNAcentral.
GAUGAACGCUGGCGGCGUGCCUAAUACAUGCAAGUCGAACGCUUCACUUCGGUGAAGAGUGGCGAACGGGUGAGUAAUACAUAAGUAACCUGGCAUCUACAGGGGGAUAACUGAUGGAAACGUCAGCUAAGACCGCAUAGGUGUAGAGAUCGCAUGAACUCUAUAUGAAAAGUGCUACGGGACUGGUAGAUGAUGGACUUAUGGCGCAUUAGCUUGUUGGUAGGGUAACGGCCUACCAAGGCGACGAUGCGUAGCCGACCUGAGAGGGUGACCGGCCACACUGGGACUGAGACACGGCCCAGACUCCUACGGGAGGCAGCAGUAGGGAAUUUUCGGCAAUGGGGGAAACCCUGACCGAGCAACGCCGCGUGAAGGAAGAAGUAAUUCGUUAUGUAAACUUCUGUCAUAGAGGAAGAACGGUAGAUAUAGGGAAUGAUAUCCAAGUGACGGUACUCUAUAAGAAAGCCACGGCUAACUACGUG